CAAGUCGCACGAGAAAGGGCUUCGGCCCCGGUACAGUGGCGCACGGGUGAGUAACACGUAGAUCAUCUCCCCUCGAGUGGUGGAUAACUCUCCGAAAGGAGAGCUAAUACAGCAUGAGACCACGGCUUCGUUGAAGCUGCGGCCAAAGCAGGCCUCUACAUGUAAGCUUGCGCUUGAGGAUGAGUCUGCGGCCCAUCAGCUAGUUGGUAGGGUAAUGGCCUACCAAGGCUAAGACGGGUAGCUGGUCUGAGAGGAUGAACAGCCACACUGGAACUGAGACACGGUCCAGACUCCUACGGGAGGCAGCAGUGGGGAAUCUUGCGCAAUGGGCGAAAGCCUGACGCAGCGACGCCGCGUGAGCGAUGAAGGCCUUCGGGUUGUAAAGCUCUGUGGGGAGGAAAGAAUAAGGUUUGGCUAAUAUCCAAACUGAUGACGGUACCUCCUUAGCAAGCACCGGCUAACUCUGUGCCAGCAGCCGCGGUAAGACAGAGGGUGCAAACGUUGUUCGGAAUUACUGGGCGUAAAGCGCGUGUAGGCGGCCCUGCAAGUCGGGUGUGAAAUCCCACGGCUCAACCGUGGAAGUGCACUCGAAACUGCAGGGCUAGAGUCCUGGAGAGGAAGGUGGAAUGCUUGGUGUAGAGGUGAAAUUCGUAGAUAUCAAGCGGAACACCGGUGGCGAAGGCGGCCUUCUGGACAGUGACUGACGCUGAGACGCGAAAGCGUGGGGAGCAAACAGGAUUAGAUACCCUGGUAGUCCACGCCGUAAACGAUGAGUGCUAGGUGUCACGGGCUUUGACCCUC
This 801-nucleotide ribosomal RNA is filed under the name uncultured delta proteobacterium. Its description in RNAcentral is "bacterial SSU rRNA". It matches the Rfam family "Bacterial small subunit ribosomal RNA", at positions 58 to 839 of the family's 1533-position model. The record is from RNAcentral. Lineage: Bacteria; Deltaproteobacteria.